RNAcentral lists this unclassified non-coding RNA (138 nucleotides) under soil metagenome. Its description in RNAcentral is "partial internal transcribed spacer 1". The record is from RNAcentral.
CCUAGAGUUGUAGGCCUUGCCUGCUAUCUCUUACCCAUGUCUUUUGAGUACUUACGUUUCCUCGGCGGGUCCGCCCGCCGAUUGGACAAUUUAAACCAUUUGCAGUUGCAAUCAGCGUCUGAAAAACUUUAAUAGUUA